AUUGAACGCUGGCGGCAUGCCUUACACAUGCAAGUCGAACGGCAGCACGGGAGCAAUCCUGGUGGCGAGUGGCGAACGGGUGAGUAAAGUAUCGGAACGUGCCCAGUCGUGGGGGAUAACGUAGCGAAAGUUACGCUAAUACCGCAUACGAUCUAUGGAUGAAAGCGGGGGAUCGCAAGACCUCGCGCGAUUGGAGCGGCCGAUAUCAGGUUAGGUAGUUGGCGGGGUAAAGGCUCACCAAGCCGACGAUCUGUAGCUGGUCUGAGAGGACGACCAGCCACACUGGGACUGAGACACGGCCCAGACUCCUACGGGAGGCAGCAGUGGGGAAUUUUGGACAAUGGGCGAAAGCCUGAUCCAGCCAUGCCGCGUGCAGGAUGAAGGCCUUCGGGUUGUAAACUGCUUUUGUACGGAACGAAAAGGUUUGGCCUAAUAAGCUGAGCUCAUGACGGUACCGUAAGAAUAAGCACCGGCUAACUACGUGCCAGCAGCCGCCGUAA
RNAcentral lists this ribosomal RNA (500 nucleotides) under uncultured bacterium. RNAcentral describes it as "partial 16S ribosomal RNA". It matches the Rfam family "Bacterial small subunit ribosomal RNA", at positions 30 to 523 of the family's 1533-position model. The record is from RNAcentral.